RNAcentral lists this long non-coding RNA (221 nucleotides) under Elaeis guineensis (African oil palm). RNAcentral's name for it is "long non-coding RNA (EGUI_LNC047695)". The record is from RNAcentral. Lineage: Eukaryota; Viridiplantae; Streptophyta; Magnoliopsida; Arecales; Arecaceae.
GGGUGGUAGAGGGUAUUGCCUCCGUGGAUGCUUCGGCUUGACCCAUCGGCAUGGAUGUGCGACCCGACUGCCUUGGGAGAUAGCCCUUGUUGCACAGGUCACAUGGCUUGGUUGUCAUGUGGUCAAAGUCUGCAUGUGCGAGAUGCCUAUCCUGACCCUUCCUAUUUGCAAUGCUGCUCGAUACUUUGGAACCCCAAUAGUGAGAUUUACCUAGAUGCCCU